Molecule: ribosomal RNA, 763 nt
Filed under: uncultured bacterium
Lineage: Bacteria
Description: bacterial SSU rRNA
Rfam family: Bacterial small subunit ribosomal RNA
Source: RNAcentral
AGAGUUUGAUCAUGGCUCAGAUUGAACGCUGGCGGUAUGCCUAACACAUGCAAGUCGAACGGUAACAGAGAGAAGCUUGCUUCUUUGCUGACGAGUGGCGGACGGGUGAGUAACGCGUGGGAAUCUACCCAGUAGUUGGGGAUAGCCCGGAGAAAUCCGGAUUAAAACCGAAUAAUAUCUACGGAUGAAAGGGUGCCUCUUCUUGAAAGCACUUGCUAUUGGAUGAGCCCGCGUUAGAUUAGUUAGUUGGUGGGGUAAAGGCCUACCAAGACUGCGAUCUAUAGCUGGUUUGAGAGGAUGAUCAGCCACAUUGGGACUGAGACACGGCCCAGACUCCUACGGGAGGCAGCAGUGGGGAAUAUUGGACAAUGGGCGCAAGCCUGGUCCAGCAAUACCGCGUGUGUGAAGAAGGCCUUCGGGUUGUAAAGCACUUUUAUAUGGGAAGAAGUGUUGUGUGUUAAUAGCGCAUAACAUUGACGGUACCAUAGGAAUAAGCACCGGCUAACUCCGUGCCAGCAGCCGCGGUAAUACGGAGGGUGCGAGCGUUAAUCGGAAUUACUGGGCGUAAAGGGUACGUAGGCGGCUUAAUAAGUCAGAUGUGAAAUCCCCGGGCUUAACCUGGGAACUGCAUUUGAAACUGUUGAGCUAGAGUGAGUGAGAGGUAAGUGGAAUUCAAAGCGUAGCGGUGAAAUGCGUAGAGGUCUUGAGGAACAUCAGUGGCGAAAGCGACUUACUGGCACUACACUGACGCUGAGGUACGAAA